AGCCUCUUCGAGCCCCCCCAAUCCCCCAGUGCCCCGUCCAGAGUCCAUUGCGGCAGGCCUGGAGGGUGCCAGCGCAAGGGGCGCCCCUCUUCAGGGAACGAAAUGUGUGCUAUGCCAGCCCCCCUCGCUGUCCUUAAGCUGCGCCUGCCACCAUGCUAUUUGUGGCAACGACAGAGCGUGCGCUAGGAGGACCUAGCCCAGGAAGGAAACUUCAAACACGCAUCCCAAUUACGCAGGGGAGCUGGAACCCAGGCCCUACUUGGCCCUUUCACAAGCUUCUCUUAAACUCACGCUUGCUAAAUAACCCUGUAACUGUGGCGAACUUUGCCCCACCCUCCAGACUCCCAUAUAACCUUCCCACUUGCCCACCAGCAAGCCCAACUUUUAUUGCUGGCAGUGACUUUCCUGCUAGCAGCCUCCAGAGUUUGCAGGAAUCCUCGGAUUGUGCUCAGACCACCUUGUGAUGUUCAUUUCCCUGUCCUGUGUCACCACCCGAGAUGCUGACCCAGAAUCAUCACUCCUGAAGACAGGCCGGGUGCUCCCUCACGUGACCCUCUGUCCCUGGGCCGUCUGCCCUCACAGAAGGCCUCUGCCAGCUCCCUGGGCACUUUGAACUUGAGCACGAAGCAGCUAGGUCUUUGCUUGCCUCCCUCAUCAGACUGGGAGGGACUUUGCCUUCCCCACAUUUGUGGCUGUACCUGGUCGGCUCACAGGAAGGUCGCACGCAGACCAGACCUGCUUCUGCCUGGGAUUAAGCAUCGGUCCUGAACCCAGGCCGACCAGGGCUGCAGCUGCAAACAUCCAGGCCGGUCACACGGAGGCCCUGAAGUGUGGGCACAGGAACUGGGCCUUCAUCCUAUGGAUGUGGGGAACCUGGAUAGCCACUGAGCAGGGCAGUGACUGGCGCAAACACCGGGGACUUUCUAUCCACUGUCCUUGUCGGCCCAGAGCCUGGAGGAAGGAGCAGGGGACAGCAUCCUGAGAUUUGAUCUCCACAGAUCGCAGAACACUGCUACCAACAUGGCCAAAGCUGAGGGUAGCCUCGCCCUAACCAAGGACACUGUUUGAGUGGAAAUGACAGUGCCCUGUGCGGCACACAGACCCUGUCUGUUCUGAGUAUUUCUGUGAUGAGCGCCUGGCGGCAAGUCCAAAUGACAAUUCAGUAACAGGUGCGCUGCUGGUGGGACGAUUUAACCAGUGACAUAGGGUGGGAUUGAAAUUCUGAGCUCUUUAGCGUCUCCCCCAAAAUUAUUAGAUUCAGAAAACUGCAAGCAAAACAAAACAGACGGAACAACUAUAGAAAAAAGCCAACUUGUUCAGCGCUCAGCAUCUGCUUGCAGAACCCAACCGGUGGACACAUGACCAUCGGCUGCUCACGUUGUGAGUCGCACUCAGCUUCCCUUGCUCCAUGCCCUGGAAAAGCACGCAGGAGCAACCUGAGCCUGGACUCCCCUCUGGCCCCUGAAGAGCCCAGCUGUCCUUCUCUGGGAAACCUCCCAGGGCUUGCAGGUCAGCUGAAAGUCACCCCGGGCCUCGCCAAGGCCUCUGUGUCCCCUCUGUCCCUGCACAGGGGGUCUGGCUUCCUUCUCUGCUCCUCUCUAGUCCCCCCAUAGAAUCACCUGAGGCUUGGGUCUGAAAUUCUGCACUGGAGAACCGACCCUUCCUGCUGCUCUGGGGAGAAAGUUAACCUCAGGAUGCUCUGGGAAAUGACCGAACCAAGGGGCCCAAAGGCUGGCUGCCCACGGGGCCUCAGUGCUUGCCAGGAUGUGACCCUCAGACUGAGAAUGUGAAGCCAGCCCUGGUCUCCCAGUCAGCCGCUCCUGUCCUCUUUGGGCUGGAGCCCAGGAGUCCAAGGGGAGGGGCUGCCUGGCAGGAUCCGAGGCCCAGUUGGAGCUGUCUGGCCUGGGGGCUCCCCGAGGACAGGGUGGGGCAUCCUCUUUGGUCUAGAAGGUAGGCUGCUCCUCCCCACCUGCUGUGUUCCAAGUUGGAGCUCAGAUCCUCACUGCAGGGUGACCUUGGCCCAUUGCCUCUCCUCCCUGAGCCUUCGUGUUUGCCCUUGGAGGGCCACAGUGAAAGUCCCACUUCCUGACUGACUUCCCAACCCUGCCUGCCCUGCCCUGUCCGGCCUCACCUGCUUACCCCACCACCCCAAGUUCUGUCCCUGGACACACCACAUCUGCUUGGCAGCCCGCAGGCCUGGGUACUGCUCUUUGGACUUUCCCCUCCAGAGCUCCACUUCCAUUCUACCACUUUGCAUUGCUUUUUUUCUGCAAGGUGUCUCCUCCUCACUUCUGUCUCUUUUUAAGUUUAUCUUGGGCACCUCCUCCACCAGGAAGGCCUCCCUGAUCUUCCCUCUGUGGAAUGUGCUUCCUGAUGACCCCAUGUAUUAUAUUUGUUUGCUGGUCGUCUCCCUCCCUAGGCUGGAAGCUGCUUGGGAAUCUCAUGAGAUUCUUCAUAACAGUAACAGCAGGAAUGAUGGGAUAAAAAAAAAAUCAUUGGGCCUUUAUAAUAACAACUGAAUCCAAAACAGGUCACCUGUGGAUGCUCAAAUGAGUGGGUAAAAGUUUGAGCAGCAAGAUAUUUAAAAAGCCUCAAAGUACCUCAAGAACAAAAUGAAACAAGGUAACUUUUCAGUAGAGUCUGACAGACCUGGUCUUUACCAAGUGAUCCUAAGAAUGGGACACAUCUCAGGUCCUCCUGAUAGGACCCCCGGGAAGACAUGACCCCCGCUGUGGUCAUUGGCCUGAACAGGGAGCUUUCAUCAUGAUGGACAUUCUACAAAUUCACCAGUCUGUGCUCCUCAAACUGUGCUGCCCUGAAAUGAACUCUUUCCAGAAACAGGAGCCAGGCCUGCUGGGAGGUCAGAGUGGAGAGGGGGACCAGGGCCCUGUGUCACAGAGUCGGCAGCUGCUGUCACCUGCACCACAGCCCUGGUGUGCAACAUGUCUCGGCUCUACUCUCUGAGUCCUGCAGGUCAGUGUGAGAACUAGUACUCCAGGGCUCCUUCCUCCCAAAGUACUAGGGAAGAGCCCGGCGCUUCGGUUUUCCAGCUCCUGGAGGCCUCCGAGUCCCUUGGCUGGCGACCCCGUCCUCCUGCACGGCAUCUCUGGGUCUCUGACUUCCCUCCUUUGACCUCACUCAGGCACUGUGACCCACUGGGCCCCCUGAGGCGAUCACGGAUCGCUGCCAUCUCAGACCCUUAAUUUGGUGGUUGUAGAGUCUUUUGGCCAUGGACAGUGACCUGUUUGGAGAACUGGGGACUUGGAUGUGAAUGUCUCAGAGGCCAUAUUCCGUACCAUUAGAGUUCAAAGCAUAGCCACCGAGGCAGGCGACUGUGCCGUUUGCUCCCUCUGGGGCAUUGGGCAUAUUGCUUCUCCAGCUGAGUUCCCCCACAUGUGAGGAAGGGAGAGUAAAAGUUGUCAGAGGGUCAGAGAGGUGGCAUCUGUGCUGUCUGCAGGGCGGGGCAGGCACAUGGGAGAUGCUGGGUGGAAGCUUGUGUUUGUGCAGCCAUUGGGGUUAGAACCAUGGGAAGAGGGAGUGGAAGGAGGGAAGGAGAAGGGGGAAUAGAAGGAGAGGAAUCAGGGUAAGAGGAGGUGAAGAAGAAAAAGGUGAAUGAAGAGGAGGAGGAGGAAUAAAAGGAAGAGGAGGAAGGAUUGUCCACAGAAACAGGAAGCCACUUCCAAUGGGUAAAGUUCUGGGGACCUCCGAGGGGCCGGGCUUUACUGGCCAUGGCCCAAGACAGGGUCACCCUUUCAGCAGCAGGACCAGGUGUUGAGGAGUCACCAGGCCACUUCCCUAACAUCCAGCCAGGCUGCUUUGCCUGGCUCCCGAGUGGUAAACUGGCAGCCCAGAGGAGAAGCCCAGUCCAUGCCCAGGGCCUGCAGGAGGGUCAUCUCCUAGGACCUUGGGUGGCUCCUGGUCCAACUGCCACUGUGGGGGGACACAGAGGCCACAGAUGCCUGGGCUGUGGGUGGUGGUGGUGAUGUGUCCAGAGUCUCCCUGCCACCCACCCAUGUGGCAUCUUCAUUUGGCUCCAUGGUGCUGAGCAGGGGCAGACCACUUGGACCAGAAGGCAGGACAGCUUCCAUCUGUUCCCGUCCUUGCUGAGUCCAAAGAAGAUCUCACCCACAGACAGAGACCAACCCCGGGAUCCAGGAGCAAGGGACAGAAGGGUAGGGAGCUGGCAGGAGGUGGCCAUGGCCCUGUGGCCAGCCAGGGCUCACUGGAUGGGUCCAGUCUAUAGUAAAGAGGGCUUCCGUCACUGUA
Molecule: long non-coding RNA, 4266 nt
Organism: Heterocephalus glaber (naked mole-rat)
Lineage: Eukaryota; Metazoa; Chordata; Mammalia; Rodentia; Bathyergidae
Source: RefSeq, a predicted model, not a curated record